AGUAGUUUGAUCAGUGGCUACGAGGACGACGCUGGCGGCGUGCCUAACACAUGCAAGUCGAGCGGAGACAUGCGACGGAAUUGAAGUUUUCGGAUGGAUAUGAAGAUGCAUGUUUUAGCGGCGGACGGGUGAGUAACGCGUGAACAAUCUGUCCUGCACGAGGGGGAUAACACAGCGAAAGUUGUACUAAUACCGCAUGAGACCACGAUGGGGCAUCCCAUAGGGGUCAAAGGAGUAACAUCUGGUGCAGGGUGAGUUCGCGUCCGAUUAGAUAGUAGGUGAGGUAACGGCCCACCUAGUCGACGAUCGGUAGCCGACCUGAGAGGGUGAUCGGCCACAUUGGGACUGAGACACGGCCCAAACUCC
Molecule: ribosomal RNA, 366 nt
Filed under: uncultured Coriobacteriales bacterium
Lineage: Bacteria; Bacillati; Actinomycetota; Coriobacteriia; Coriobacteriales
Description: bacterial SSU rRNA
Rfam family: Bacterial small subunit ribosomal RNA
Source: RNAcentral